UGAUUGAAUCCUACUUCUCAAAAAAAAAAAAAAAAUCUCCCCUCCUCUGACUCAUUCCCAAAACCUGUUCUAGCUCUACUUUAAAACACAUUUUCUACCUGUAUUUAAAACAACUCCGAAGCAUAGGUGAUGUUUCUCUGCCACUACAUUCGGGGUUUCCUGCUCUGCACAGCGCAUUCCCGCAGGCAGCUCUCGGCGGGACAAGUUGCUGGGAGGAUUUUAGCUCGAUGUCAACAUCCGUCCGUGCCUCGGGGCUCAGCGUCCCGAUCUCGCCCGCUCCCAGCGGCCAGGAGCAGCGAGAUAACAGAUGCGUGAGGAAACGAGACAAACGCAACGACCUCACAGGACGGCGGGGACACCAGGCGCGCACCGCGGUGCUCCUGGCACGAUCUCUCCUAGUCAGUCCCAAAUUAGAGCAUGGGGGCAAAAGGGAAGAUUCGGCAGCGGAGACCAAAGCGGGAACAGCCAGGACACAGCGGGUGUGACCCGCGGAGUGACAUUGGAGACUCUCUCCAACCAGACCAUGCCCAGCACUCAUUGCAAACCAGGAGGGGCUGGGGCUGCUGGGACCAGAAGCAAGAGACUUGCUGCAUUCCUUCCCAUGCUGUCCCAGCCCUGGCUCCCCAGGCAGCACAGUGAAACCUCCCAGGGAUGCUGAAAGGAAGGAACCAGGCUGGAUCUGCAAACCCUCCUGGACAUGGAGGUAAAGAAGGGUUGAAUGUACCACAGGGAUGCACAAACAGCCAAACCCCAGGUGGGCAGAGGGGAGGUAGAGGUUGGAAUUUGGGAGAGGACUGAUGCUGGCAGAAGAUAAGAAGGUAUCAGAGUAGUGAAUUCAGCCUGGAGUAAGUUUUUCUUGGGAAGAACUGUCUGUUUGCCAGCACAGUGUGUAUUGACGGUGUGCAGCUGUGGACAAAGCUGAGUGUGGAUUUACCUCCUGUCUGAGCAGAAAUCAUGGGCUGGGAAAGUACUUGUUCUGGCAAGCAAGGGUAGAGAGCUUACAUUGGAGACCUGGGUGACACAGGCACAAAUACAACCCAGAACCCAUAGUUAAUUGUUGGUGAAGAUUUACCCUUUGUCCUUAUUAACUUGCCUUUAAACAGACAUGAUAAAUGCUGUUCAUUACUCAAAUGUAUUCUGAAGAAGUCUAAACUUCCCCAGCUCACCCUUUAAUCAUCUUCUGGCUUACACAUUUGUCUUUCCUUCCAAGAUGCUGGUAAUAAAUAAAUGCUGUUUAAAUGGUCA
RNAcentral lists this long non-coding RNA (1245 nucleotides) under Zonotrichia albicollis (white-throated sparrow). RNAcentral's name for it is "lncRNA (ENSZALG00000014269.1)". The record is from RNAcentral. Lineage: Eukaryota; Metazoa; Chordata; Aves; Passeriformes; Passerellidae.